Molecule: unclassified non-coding RNA, 45 nt
Filed under: Sorangium cellulosum So ce56
Lineage: Bacteria; Pseudomonadati; Myxococcota; Polyangiales; Polyangiaceae
Source: RNAcentral
GAUCUCGGAAUGAACACGCGCGGAUGCUACACCCCUGCCGCGGCC